This 1553-nucleotide ribosomal RNA is filed under the name Shigella flexneri. Its description in RNAcentral is "bacterial SSU rRNA". It matches the Rfam family "Bacterial small subunit ribosomal RNA". The record is from RNAcentral. Lineage: Bacteria; Pseudomonadati; Pseudomonadota; Gammaproteobacteria; Enterobacterales; Enterobacteriaceae.
AAAUUGAAGAGUUUGAUCAUGGCUCAGAUUGAACGCUGGCGGCAGGCCUAACACAUGCAAGUCGAACGGUAACAGGAAACAGCUUGCUGUUUCGCUGACGAGUGGCGGACGGGUGAGUAAUGUCUGGGAAACUGCCUGAUGGAGGGGGAUAACUACUGGAAACGGUAGCUAAUACCGCAUAACGUCGCAAGACCAAAGAGGGGGACCUUCGGGCCUCUUGCCAUCGGAUGUGCCCAGAUGGGAUUAGCUAGUAGGUGGGGUAACGGCUCACCUAGGCGACGAUCCCUAGCUGGUCUGAGAGGAUGACCAGCCACACUGGAACUGAGACACGGUCCAGACUCCUACGGGAGGCAGCAGUGGGGAAUAUUGCACAAUGGGCGCAAGCCUGAUGCAGCCAUGCCGCGUGUAUGAAGAAGGCCUUCGGGUUGUAAAGUACUUUCAGCGGGGAGGAAGGGAGUAAAGUUAAUACCUUUGCUCAUUGACGUUACCCGCAGAAGAAGCACCGGCUAACUCCGUGCCAGCAGCCGCGGUAAUACGGAGGGUGCAAGCGUUAAUCGGAAUUACUGGGCGUAAAGCGCACGCAGGCGGUUUGUUAAGUCAGAUGUGAAAUCCCCGGGCUCAACCUGGGAACUGCAUCUGAUACUGGCAAGCUUGAGUCUCGUAGAGGGGGUAGAAUUCCAGGUGUAGCGGUGAAAUGCGUAGAGAUCUGGAGGAAUACCGGUGGCGAAGGCGGCCCCCUGGACGAAGACUGACGCUCAGGUGCGAAAGCGUGGGGAGCAAACAGGAUUAGAUACCCUGGUAGUCCACGCUGUAAACGAUGUCGACUUGGAGGUUGUGCCCUUGAGGUGUGGCUUCCGGAGCUAACGCGUUAAGUCGACCGCCUGGGGAGUACGGCCGCAAGGUUAAAACUCAAAUGAAUUGACGGGGGCCCGCACAAGCGGUGGAGCAUGUGGUUUAAUUCGAUGCAACGCGAAGAACCUUACCUGGUCUUGACAUCCACGGAAGUUUUCAGAGAUGAGAAUGUGCCUUCGGGAACCGUGAGACAGGUGCUGCAUGGCUGUCGUCAGCUCGUGUUGUGAAAUGUUGGGUUAAGUCCCGCAACGAGCGCAACCCUUAUCCUUUGUUGCCAGCGGUCCGGCCGGGAACUCAAAGGAGACUGCCAGUGAUAAACUGGAGGAAGGUGGGGAUGACGUCAAGUCAUCAUGGCCCUUACGACCAGGGCUACACACGUGCUACAAUGGCGCAUACAAAGAGAAGCGACCUCGCGAGAGCAAGCGGACCUCAUAAAGUGCGUCGUAGUCCGGAUUGGAGUCUGCAACUCGACUCCAUGAAGUCGGAAUCGCUAGUAAUCGUGGAUCAGAAUGCCACGGUGAAUAGGUUCCCGGGCCUUGUACACACCGCCCGUCACACCAUGGGAGUGGGUUGCAAAAGAAGUAGGUAGCUUAACCUUCGGGAGGGCGCUUACCACUUUGUGAUUCAUGACUGGGGUGAAGUCGUAACAAGGUAACCGUAGGGGAACCUGCGGUUGGAUCACCUCCUUACCUUAAAGAAGC